UCCCGAAAAUAUAAAAAUAAUUAAAAAUGGGACUAGAAAUGCCUACCAUGCAUUAGCUGAAAGUUGGAAGCUUCUUCCAUGGCUUCUCAAGCCUUCAUAUUCGGCUAGUAAAAAGAGAAUGAAAAAGAUGACACCUUGAUUCUUUUAUUAUAUUCAUUUUAUUAUUAUUUUUAACCAAUUUACAAUAUUAACCUUUAUACACUUUAUUUAUUACACCAAAUGCCAAGCCAUCAUAUCCCACUAUCUCUUUCAUGGGCUAAUUACCAAAUAAGGACUUCUACUUUUAAGUUCUAUAUCUAUUUAAUACCUUUAG
Molecule: long non-coding RNA, 313 nt
Filed under: Gossypium barbadense (sea-island cotton)
Lineage: Eukaryota; Viridiplantae; Streptophyta; Magnoliopsida; Malvales; Malvaceae
Description: long non-coding RNA (GBAR_LNC007459)
Source: RNAcentral